This 336-nucleotide unclassified non-coding RNA is filed under the name uncultured fungus. RNAcentral's name for it is "sequence contains ITS2". Lineage: Eukaryota; Fungi. The record is from RNAcentral.
AACGCAUCUUGCACCCUUUGGCAUUCCGAAGGGUAUGCCUGUUUGAGUGUCUUUAACAACAUCAACUCCCUCCGUGAGGGUAAAGCCUCUGGGGUGGAUGUUGGACGUGAGUGCUGCCGUGAUUCUUUCAUCGGCUCACUUGAAAAUCGUUAAGCCUGGUCUUCGACGGUCUUGACUCCUGUCGGGUUGGUGUGGUAGAACUCCCUGUGGGAUGCAAAUCACCUCCGAUGGAUGCAGGUCGACCUUGGGGUGGGCUUUUGUUUGUGACCAUGCCUCGGGGCGUGACACUUUUACCAAUCAGACCUCAAAUCAGGUAGGACUACCCGCUGAACUUAA